UACAGAUGAGGAAACUGAGGCUCACAGAGCUCCAGGCAUGUGCCCAAGCCUGCUCCCGCAGUGGCCAAAGGCAGAGCCUGGGCCACACUGCCUUCUUCCAACUCCGUCGCUGCCCGAGAGGAGCCCCCACGUGUGCACCUUGAAGUCACUCGAAGAGGCCAACCGGCAUCCGUCACCAUGGACACCAGGUGGGUGGCAUUGACUGCCCAGGUGCAGCACACUCUACAGUUUGUACCCUCCAAUUGCA
Molecule: long non-coding RNA, 247 nt
Filed under: Callithrix jacchus (white-tufted-ear marmoset)
Lineage: Eukaryota; Metazoa; Chordata; Mammalia; Primates; Cebidae
Description: lncRNA (ENSCJAG00000064067.2)
Source: RNAcentral